AUUGAACGCUGGCGGCAGGCCUAACACAUGCAAGUCGAGCGAGCGGCGGACGGGUGAGUAAUGUAUGGGGAUCUGCCCGAUAGAGGGGGAUAACUACUGGAAACGGUGGCUAAUACCGCAUACUAUCGGAUGAACCCAUAUGGGAUUAGCUAGUAGGUGGGGUAAAGGCUCACCUAGGCGACGAUGCCUAGCUGGUCUGAGAGGAUGAUCGGCCACACUGGGACUGAGACACGGCCCAGACUCCUACGGGAGGCAGCAGUGGGGAAUAUUGCGCAAUGGGGGCAAGCCUGAUGCAGCCAUGCCGCGUGUAUGAAGAAGGCCUUCGGGUUGUAAAGUACUGUCAGCGGGGAGGCGUUACUCGCAGAAGAAGCACCGGCUAACUCCGUGCCAGCAGCCGCGGUAAUAC
This 406-nucleotide ribosomal RNA is filed under the name uncultured bacterium. RNAcentral describes it as "partial 16S ribosomal RNA". It matches the Rfam family "Bacterial small subunit ribosomal RNA", at positions 30 to 526 of the family's 1533-position model. The record is from RNAcentral.